Non-coding RNA from Acanthosepion pharaonis, 110 nucleotides. The record is from the annotation of a GenBank genome assembly. Lineage: Eukaryota; Metazoa; Mollusca; Cephalopoda; Sepiida; Sepiidae.
GGACAUAUCAAAUUGAACUUCCUGUUCCCGUACGAUCACCGAAGUUAAGCAACGUCGAGCCUGGUCACUGCCUAGAUGAGUGACCGCUUGGAAAUACCAGAUAUUGUAAG